UACGGAAGGCAGCAGUGGGGAAUAUUGCACAAUGGGCGAAAGCCUGAUGCAGCUAUGCCGCGUGUAUGAAGAAGGCCUUAGGGUUGUAAAGUACUUUCAUCGGGGAGGAAAAAAACAAAACUAAUAAUUUUAUUUCUUGACGUUACCCGAAAAAGAAGCACCGGCUAACUCCGUGCCAGCAGCCGCGGUAAUACGGAGGGUGCUAGCGUUAAUCAGAAUUACUGGGCGUAAAGAGCACGUAGGUGGUUUUUUUAAGUCAGAUGUGAAAUCCCUGGGCUUAACCUGGAACUGCAUUUUGAAACUGAAAUACUAGAGUAUCGUAGAGGGAGGUAGAAUUCUAGGUGUAGCGGUGAAAUGCGUAGAUAUCUGGAGGAAUACCUGUGGCGAAAGCGGCCUCCUAAACGAAUACUGACACUGAGGUGCGAAAGCGUGGGGAGCAAACGAGGGAUUAGAUACC
RNAcentral lists this ribosomal RNA (457 nucleotides) under uncultured bacterium. Its description in RNAcentral is "bacterial SSU rRNA". It matches the Rfam family "Bacterial small subunit ribosomal RNA", at positions 340 to 786 of the family's 1533-position model. The record is from RNAcentral.